GGGGGUAAUCAGCUGAUGCGGCGGCACAGGGUGAUCCCAUCGCCAACAGGAAGCUGACAAAUCUCGAUCCGGGGAUCAGCGGCCAGGGCCUUGUUGAGCUCCAACACGAAGUCCUUAUAAUAUCUAACGUACUUGCGGAGAGGGGCAUCAGGUGGUGCGACCACAGAGCCGUUCCAUAGGGUGUUGUCGUAGCCUAUCAAUCCUCCAACCUUGACCAGAUCAAUCAGCCUUUUGUGGUAGUUCAGGUAGUUGUCCUUGU
Molecule: long non-coding RNA, 259 nt
Filed under: Vitis vinifera (wine grape)
Lineage: Eukaryota; Viridiplantae; Streptophyta; Magnoliopsida; Vitales; Vitaceae
Description: long non-coding RNA (VVIN_LNC002268)
Source: RNAcentral